UGGCCCCGCUGAACGCUGCGGGAUGACCGGCCGUUAGAGCUCCCCUUUCAGGCCAUUCCGCAAUUUUACAGACACACAGGAGUGAAGCUGAACGUCAGUAAAAGCAUGUUCUCAUAAACAAACAGCCAAACUUCAGUCCGCUGCAGUAAACGCUAAACUCUGACAGUCCUGUCCUACAAACACAAUAUAAUAACACUCUCUACACGGAGCUACACGCAGACUAUAACCUACCACCCUCAGCUGCAGCAAACUAACAACCCCCAGCCUCCAGAGAGAGAGCGGCUUAACUUCAGCCAAACUGCCAAUGACCGCCACAAGUUUUUGGACAUCAUCAAGAUAUGUACUUUCCAGAUGAUGCAGUGGAAGCCCUCUCACGGAAAAGAUAAACUGGACUGUUUACACUGGUAAGAACUACAUUCUCACAGAACAGGGUCUCUAUCAUCACACUCGUGUCACUGGUUGACUGAAGGUGGCAGAGCAUUAGGGGAUGUGCAUUUCCAGCCUCGGAACCUUUCGGUUAUUAAGGACAACAGAUGGCAGCGAACAUUCACAAAUGACCACAUAACCAGUGAUUAGAACAAAUGUGCUUUUAGUCCACAAAUGAGCCAUUUGUACGGUCCUGCUUUUAGGAUCAAGUGUCCCGGCGUAUGUGUUAUUUUCACUGUGCUCAGUGGAGCCACAGGUCCUGGGAGGCAGGUCCUGGCAGAGGUGAAGGGCUCUGUGCUCUGUACCACAUUAGAGUCAAACCUCUGUACCAAACAUACUGCUCAAACAGGGGCUCUCUUAUGACACAGUGUGGGAAGGCUGGGAGAGAUGGGACAAAGACCAUAGAUCAUAUUAUGCUAGUUAAUGAGCUACAUGAGUAUUCAUUUAUGGGAAAAAAGAUAAAAAGCCAUAUUCUAUUAUAAUAAUUAUUAUUGUUCAUUAUUGUUUUUAUUCCCACUCUUUAGUCAUGAACUGCAAACCUCUCUCCAAAAUUCUCUCAGGUUGUAAUAAAAACAAACUUUUACAUACACACAAACACAGUAGAGAAAGUAAAAAUGCAGUGGGUGAGAAAAAAAGAGAGAGAGAGAGAGAGAGAGAAAGAGAAGAGGGGGAAAACAAAAAGAGCUGAAAUUGCCUCAUUAAUGCAUCCGGCGUCCUGCCCUGAGCCUUUCCCUUUUGCCUAGGCCCAGCGGGAGCCCUUUUUAUCAGGCCAAAGGACACCUUUUGCUGGGCCAUUAGCAAAACAGGGACAGAUGCACCCUGGCAAAUACCCCCCCGUCAUGCACCGGCAGAGAGGUGGAUGGAGGACAGAGCGGGCGUUCCUCGGGCAGGCGGAGGGGCGCGGUUGCUGUGACCUUGGCCCGGUGGACGCAGGGCGAUUCGGAGGACGAGGCGUCAGCGCUGACGGGAUGAACUCCGUCAAAUCCUCCCUCCCCCACCUCCCUGAGGUUAAUGGCUUUUAGCUGUUCCUGUCCGAAAAAUGGUAAUGACCGUCGCCCCCAGGCUGUCGGGGACGCAAUUACCCCCAUCAGGUUUCCCCCCCUGCUAAAUAUGAUUUGACCAAUCAGCAUAAUUUGGAGAGCGUUCCGCUUGGCGGCGUCCGUAACUGGUUUUGCGCCAAUCUCGCCCUGCACCGCUAAGUGCCAGGCUAAUAGCGUAUGGAGCAUUUGACAAAUUGACAUUUUCAUCUAAGGGAGAGCUUUGAAUGCACCUGAAGCACAAAAAAAGGAGGAGGAAGGUCAGGCAAACUCGGACCAAGGGCUGUUCAAGAAGGUGGAGAUGAACUCGCCUCCCCACCUUCCUGCCAUUCGUCUCAAAUACGGUUUUAAUAAGGCUUAAUAUAUUAAUGUAUUAUUCACAUGUUAAUGGAAGUGAUGUGAGUAAAGGUCUAAGGGCUGUUUAAACCAGCAGAGUCAAAACGGCAGAUGAUGGGUUGGUGACAUAAAACGCUGGUUGAUGCUGGUUCAGAGCUCUAGGAGGAGGAGGACGGUGGCAUGCAAGCCAAAUGAAACUACAGAGCAAAGCCUAUUAAUUAAACCCCUGCCGCUUGUGUGCCUCACUCUUUUGCGCUUCAUAAAACAGGAUCAAAUCGCCCUUCAGAAAUGAGCAGCAAGCAAAUCACAAUAGAAAAGCACAGAGUUGAAACGGGUGGAUGGUUUCUGGAGUUGGAACUGUGCUGAAAACAUCACCUGUCGUACAUUUUCAAAACUAUUCUUUAAGUAAACAGUCAGCCUGACUUCUCCACUCGUUGACCUUCACAAGAUUGGCGUCUCAGGACUUUUAUGGAAAGUAAAAGACAUAUAAACAUAAGAUAUAAACAUAAAACAAAACUUAUUUUGUUUGCCUUAAAUUUUCUGAAAUUUAAGAUUGAUUAAUGCUGAGCAUUAAUCAAUUCCAAAUACAAACAUAUUUGUUUAUUGUUUCUCGAUAAUUUAUCUUUAGUGACAGCAGUCUCAGUCAGCUGUCAGUAUAACAAAUACUGGUAUGGAUCUCAGUGACACGUGUCAUUGAUUAGCAGACAUUGAGAAACCUGCACACCCAAUAGCAGCGGCCCUUCCCUCUGCCCUGUGUACCCCAGUUCCGGUAACUCGAGAGCCAUCAAUUAAGCAGAUGAUUAGCUCCUGGGGCCAUAGGGGGACACCUGGGCAGUGGCGGCAGCAGACGUGGGGGAUCUGUGUGUGUGUGUGUGUGUGUGUGUGUGUGUGUGUGUGUGUGUGGAAUAAGGGGAGGGGGAGCGGGGAGGCUGAGCAGGUUACUCACAGAUGUA
Molecule: long non-coding RNA, 2752 nt
Organism: Astyanax mexicanus (Mexican tetra)
Lineage: Eukaryota; Metazoa; Chordata; Actinopteri; Characiformes; Acestrorhamphidae
Exons: 3
Source: RefSeq, a predicted model, not a curated record